Molecule: ribosomal RNA, 302 nt
Filed under: uncultured bacterium
Lineage: Bacteria
Description: partial 16S ribosomal RNA
Rfam family: Bacterial small subunit ribosomal RNA
Source: RNAcentral
GCAGCCGCCGCGGGAAUACGUAGGUGGCAAGCGUUGUCCGGAAUUAUUGGGCGUAAAGCGCGCGCAGGCGGAUAGGUCAGUCUGUCUUAAAAGUUCGGGGCUUAACCCCGUGAUAGGAUGGAAACUGCCAAUCUAGAGUAUCGGAGAGAAAAGUGGAAUUCCUAGUGUAGCGGUGAAAUGCGUAGAUAUUAGGAAGAACACCAGUGGCGAAGGCGACUUUCUGGACGAAAACUGACGCUGAGGCGCGAAAGCCAGGGGAGCGAACGGGAUUAGAUACCCCUGUAGUCCCUGUCUCUUAUACA